AUUGAACGCUGGCGGCAUGCUUUACACAUGCAAGUCGAACGGUAACAGGCCUUCGGUUGCUGACGAGUGGCGAACGGGUGAGUAAUGCAUCGGAACGUACCCAGAGGUGGGGGAUAACGCAGCGAAAGCUGUGCUAAUACCUCAUGUGAGCUGAGGAUGAAAGCGGGGGACCGAGCAGCAAUGUUUGGCCUCGCGCCUUUGGAGCGGCCGAUGUCGGAUUAGCUAGUUGGUGGGGUAAAGGCCUACCAAGGCGACGAUCCGUAGCUGGUCUGAGAGGACGACCAGCCACACUGGGACUGAGACACGGCCCAGACUCCUACGGGAGGCAGCAGUGGGGAAUUUUGGACAAUGGGCGCAAGCCUGAUCCAGCAAUGCCGCGUGAGGGAAGAAGGCCUUCGGGUUGUAAACCGCUUUUGGCAGGAACGAAACGGUGUCCGCUAAUACCGGGCGCUAAUGACGGUACCUACAGAAUAAGCACCGGCUAACUACGUG
Molecule: ribosomal RNA, 492 nt
Filed under: uncultured bacterium
Lineage: Bacteria
Description: partial 16S ribosomal RNA
Rfam family: Bacterial small subunit ribosomal RNA
Source: RNAcentral